Long non-coding RNA from Manis pentadactyla (Chinese pangolin), 643 nucleotides. RefSeq lists it as uncharacterized. The record is from RefSeq and is a predicted model, not a curated record. Lineage: Eukaryota; Metazoa; Chordata; Mammalia; Pholidota; Manidae. The transcript has 3 exons.
CAUCUUUACCUUGAUCAUGCGGAGCACCCCGCCUGCCAUGCUCUCAUUUCUCUCCCACGGAAGUUCUACAGCAGGAAUUCAUAGUAAGAAGAUGAGUGUGGAGAGUAUUCAUGGAAGAAGACUUAAGCCAGCAAGCUGUUUAUCUUGGGACUUCUGCCCAGCCCACUGAAUGGAAUGUGGAGCCAAGAAAUGGAAAAGCUGAAUCACCAAAGGUUAUGUCACUCACCCAAGAUCACACAAGAAGGGUGGAGGCAUUGUACCAACUACUUUUUUCUGAGUUCAUGACUGAGCCCAGGCACAUCAGAACCCUUCAUCGUUUUUCCCUCUAGCACAUGGGAAGGAUAGCAUUCAGGAAAGACCUACUACCCCAGGAAUCUUCACUUCUGUCCGCUGUGGUCCUUAACUACUUCUCACCAUCUCUUGGAGCCUUUGGAUUCCUUCUCUGGAUAAUGUUUCAAAAUGCUUAACAAAAAACAAAUGGAAAUACCCAGAAUCACAGAGGAAACCAAUGAUGUUGAAAUACAAUUUUUGAACCAUUAAAACAUCACAUUUUUUAUGUAACAAUGUAUAUGCUUCUGUAUUAAUACUUAAUAAGACACAAUGGCAAGUUUAAUAACUAUCAAAAUUAUGAGAUACUGAUGAG